AUCCUGUUCCUGUACUCCCAGACCAGCGUGCUUGUAGAUUCUACUCCCAGCUCUGGAAGGGAGAGCAAAGCCCAGAGAUCCACUCCUCCUGUCGUAGGCAAACCAUCAUAAACAGCAAUUGUGGAGAGGCUGGAGGAUGAAGACUGACUCCCCACCCCCAUGAAAUGAUCAGGGCUGAAGUGGGAAAAAUGAAGUACUGUCAAUGAAUCUUGAAAAUGGUCUGUAAUGAAACAUCCUGGACCUGAGCCCCAAGGACAGUAGGGGGAAGUUGGGAAGCCAAGGAGUCCAUGUUGCAAUGUGCAAGAACUCUGAAGACAAGAUUGGC
This is a long non-coding RNA of Terrapene triunguis (Three-toed box turtle), 325 nucleotides long. RefSeq lists it as uncharacterized. The transcript is spliced from 5 exons. Lineage: Eukaryota; Metazoa; Chordata; Testudines; Emydidae. The record is from RefSeq and is a predicted model, not a curated record.